RNAcentral lists this long non-coding RNA (401 nucleotides) under Rattus norvegicus (Norway rat). RNAcentral describes it as "long non-coding RNA NONRATT011979". Lineage: Eukaryota; Metazoa; Chordata; Mammalia; Rodentia; Muridae. The record is from RNAcentral.
GUCCCUUAACGUGAUCCUGGUUCCCGAUUGCACUUAACGCGAUCCUUGGUUCCCGGCCCAAAGCCGAUUGCCGGUGGCUUGGAGCUGCCGAGGAUCGGGAGUGCGCGAGGUCGUACCCACGGCUGCAAGGAAGGUUUCCCUAGACCGAGGCGCGGAAACGGGGUGCCUCGGCCUCCCGCCCGCUGCCCGCCCGUUCUUCGCGGUAGCGAACGCCGAGCGCCCGGAGCGAUGGGUGCCAACGAGGAUCAGGAGAUGGAACUAGAAGCUUUACGAUCUAUUUAUGAAGGAGAUGAAAGCUUCCGUGAAUUAAGUCCAGUUUCAUUUCAAUAUAGGGUGAAGACGGCGAUCCCAAAGCCUUUCUAAUAGAGAUCUCCUGGACAGAGACAUACCCCCAGACGCCU